UCACCUGCGAUCAACCUGGUCUGCUCGCGGCAUUCAUACUCUCCCAGCUACCAGCAGUCAGGGAGCACUAGCUCACAAACCGGGCAGCAGGACACAAAAGCGUCCCAUGAUCUUCAAGCUUGAGGCCCAGAAAGCGACGGCUUGGGCGCGCCAUUUGAAUACGCUUCCAAACGCGCCGUUUUAGCUCAGCUCCAAUCGGAGGCCAGCAAAGAAUGUCGUCUUCUCCAAGGUCUCUCCGCACUCUGCGAGCAGGAGCCGGACAGCAAAACCUGUGAGAAACAUUUUGAGGACCAGCGCUGGUUUGCUGAUCACGUUUGUGAGUGGUAUUGUAGUAGAACCUACGAAAGCCACCAUCGUAAGCCAGGAAAUUUUUCUUUUGUAUGGAAUUCUUCUGGUUCGCAGAACCGUGUGUUUCUAAAAGAAAUAUGCAUGUCUUUAAAGUUCCAUCACACAAGAGAGAACUUGUUUCUUCCACCGAUUUGAAUGGAAUUGAUCUUUAAAAGAACAGGACUCUACAUACGCAACUGAGAAAUCUUAAAACACUGAAUGAAAAGAGAGUCAUGCUUAUCCCACCAAAUGUUUGCUGAAGGGGCUCAGCUGGAGACUGGAAGGGAAUGACAGAAAGCAUCUGAACUCAGCGAAACACCUUCCGAGCUGUCCUGCAUUUAUCCGGGGUGUCCUUAGAAAUCAUGACAGAUGAUGCAACACGGUAGCCGCGGCACUACUGGUGGCAACAUCAGGGAGCAAUCCUUUCCCUCAAACCGCAUAAAGUGGUCGGGAGACUUCGCAGCUUCAGAAAACAUAUACAGCAUUGAGAAAUAGAUUAACCAGAUUUGGAGGUGAAGAACUUUCUGGAAAAGAUACUUGGAAGUCUCCUUUGCUAUCUUGUUGGAGCAGGACAAGUUGAGUGAAGGGGAGACGCUGCCAUUCAAACAGACGAGCUGCAUAAAGUAGGCUAUGUACAAACUGGAAUCGGGGUCUCCAAUCAGAAAGGUUUUUGUGUCUGUUCCCAUUGAGAACUUGGUUUAGACAAGCUCUGUUACAGGUCAGAAGAAAAUGUAAGAUGGAUUUUUCUACCCCAUCUGACAGCUUCAGUUCAUCAGAAAAGAGAGCUAAACACAGCUUCGAAGACAGAAGGCUGAGGCAGCAUUCUGUUAAUGACUUGGGACAACUCUGAACCACUGUUCACAAUGAUUCCAUUGAAUGGGACAGCAGAAGUCCUAUGACUUCAGCAUGGAAACAGCAGCAGCCCUCAAGGAUUUCUGGAUUUUAUUUUACUUAGUUUUUAAAGAUUUUAUUUGUUUAUUUGCCAGAGAGAGAGAGAGCACAAGCAGGAGGAGUGGCUGGCAGAGGGAGAGAGAGAGGCAGACUUCCCACUGAGCAAGGAGCCCGAUGCCCCUGAGAUCAUGACCAGAGCUGAAGGCAGACUGAGCCACUCAGGCACCUCGGAUUUCUGUAUUUUAAAUGAAUGAACAAAAUGAUUUGUGAGGUUUGACUAAAUAAAGGGCAAAAUAUUAACCUUCUUUGGGCUGGAGAGAGAAGCCAAAGGUGCCUUAAUUUCUACAUAGCUUUUUUUUUUUUUUUCUUUCCAUUAAUUAUUAUAUUUAGCAAAGUUCUCUGUUUCUCACCUUUACUAAAUAUGGCAUUUAGAAUGACUGGCCCUUCAUGUUCCAUGAAUUAAAACUUCUAAGUUGUUAGAAGAUAAUUUUGUCUCUCUUAUUUAACAUCAUGAAAAAUGAUUGUUUUGAAGGUCUGAGAAAAAAAAAUGAUAUUACAAAAAGGUGGUCCCUCUACCUCACUGCAGUUUCCACUUGAAUUGCCUGAUUUCUUUUUCCCUUCCUCCCUCCCUUCCUCUUUGCUUCCUUCUUUCUGUCCUCUUAUCCCCAGAUAUACAAAGCAUGCAAGGCAUAAGUUGAUGCUUUAUUAAUAAAUAAUAUUUCAAAAGUGGAUAUAUACAUCUUCAGUCAUAUGCCUUUUAUUUGUUCAUUUUUUCAAUGUUGAAUUGUUUCUUAAUGUAUCAUUUUUAGUUUUAGGCUUUUUAGUUUUUAAAUAUAUUAAAUGCUUUGCUACCAGCCUUUGACCAAUAUAAACACUUUAACUGGGAUUCUUAUGUAGCUUCAGUAUAAUUCAUGAUAAUGGUAUAGCAAGAUUCUAAAUCAAGUUUGGAAUUAUAAAAAGUUAACUUUUAUCCACUGUAGUCAUAGCGUUAUCAUUGUUUAAUAUAUUGCAAUCAUCUGAAAAUUGGAAAUCGGGGUGUGUCGUAUAUAAAUAUGACUACAUAAAAGUUGACUCGAAGGCUUCAUUCCCCUUCCAUGACAGACAGUAGUUUUCAUAUAACUAUUCUGAAGCACGUUGCAAAAGAUAGCAUUCUCUUCUUUCUGAUAGAGUAGCCAAGAUACCAAGUCAGAUGUCUAAACUAGGUUACAUUUUGAGAAUAGAGUCCCCCCCACCUCCUUUUUCCUCUCUCUCAUCUUAGCUUUGAUUACAUUCAUCAUGGUUCUCCUCCCAUGAUGUUCACUCUUGAUAACAGGUGGUUUUGAAUGACAUUGUUGUGGUAGGUGUUUUGUCAUACUAGAAAAAGGAGAUUUUCACACAUAAGAAAUUAUACUUCCUACCUGUAGUAGUUUAGUUUGGGGUCUUACAAACAGAACAAUUCUAGUUAAUAUAUAUGGAAAGUAGCCUGAUAAUGUAAGGGAGAAAUAUUAAAAUUUGUAUCUUUAAGGCUAUUAAUGAAAAACUAAAUGUAUUUCUUUGACAAAAUAAUUUAAAAAUCACUUUAUUACUGCAGGCUACACACUCUUUUUGUUCUUGGAAUAAUUCUACGAGUUUUUACACGUUCA
Lutra lutra (Eurasian river otter) is the source of this 2840-nucleotide long non-coding RNA. RefSeq lists it as uncharacterized. The transcript is spliced from 7 exons. NCBI's taxonomy places the organism in Eukaryota, Metazoa, Chordata, Mammalia, Carnivora, Mustelidae. The record is from RefSeq and is a predicted model, not a curated record.